RNAcentral lists this ribosomal RNA (497 nucleotides) under uncultured bacterium. RNAcentral describes it as "partial 16S ribosomal RNA". It matches the Rfam family "Bacterial small subunit ribosomal RNA", at positions 28 to 507 of the family's 1533-position model. The record is from RNAcentral.
GAUGAACGCUGGCGGCGUGCCUAAUACAUGCAAGUCGAGCGAACAGACGAGGAGCUUGCUCCUCUGACGUUAGCGGCGGACGGGUGAGUAACACGUGGAUAACCUACCUAUAAGACUGGGAUAACUUCGGGAAGCCGGAGCUAAUACCGGAUAAUAUAUUGAACCGCAUGGUUCAAUAGUGAAAGACGGAUUUGCUGUCACUUAUAGAUGGAUCCGCGCCGCAUUAGCUAGUUGGUAAGGUAACGGCUUACCAAGGCGACGAUGCGUAGCCGACCUGAGAGGGUGAUCGGCCACACUGGAACUGAGACACGGUCCAGACUCCUACGGGAGGCAGCAGUAGGGAAUCUUCCGCAAUGGGCGAAAGCCUGACGGAGCAACGCCGCGUGAGUGAUGAAGGUCUUCGGAUCGUAAAACUCUGUUAUUAGGGAAGAACAAAUGUGUAAGUAACUAUGCACGUCUUGACGGUACCUAAUCAGAAAGCCACGGCUAACUACGUG